GACGAACGCUGGCGGCGUGCUUAACACAUGCAAGUCGAACGGUGAAGCGCCUUCCUUUUUGGUGGGUGUGGAUGAGUGGCGAACGGGUGAGUAACACGUGAGUAACCUGCCCCCUUCUUCUGGAUAACCGCAUGAAAGUGUGGCUAAUACGGGAUAUUCUGGGUCUGUCGCAUGAUGGGUCUGGGAAAGAUAUUGUUUCGGUGGGGGAUGGGCUCGCGGCCUAUCAGCUUGUUGGUGGGGUGAUGGCCUACCAAGGCGGUGACGGGUAGCCGGCCUGAGAGGGUGGACGGUCACACUGGGACGGAGACACGGCCCAGACUCCUAAGGGAGGCAGCAGUGGGGAAUAUUGCACAAUGGGCGCAAGCCUGAUGCAGCGACGCCGCGUGAGGGAUGGAGGCCUUCGGGUUGUGAACCUCUUUCGCCAGUGAAGCAGGCCUGCCUCGUUUGUGGGUGGGUUGACGGUAGCUGGAUAAGAAGCGCCGGCUAACUACGUG
RNAcentral lists this ribosomal RNA (494 nucleotides) under uncultured bacterium. RNAcentral's name for it is "partial 16S ribosomal RNA". It matches the Rfam family "Bacterial small subunit ribosomal RNA", at positions 28 to 507 of the family's 1533-position model. The record is from RNAcentral.